GCCUGGCUAGCUCAAUCGGUAGAGCGUGAGACUCUUAUCCAAAGGUCAUCUCAAGGCUGUGGGUUCAAGCCCCACGUCGGGCU
RNAcentral lists this transfer RNA (83 nucleotides) under Yarrowia lipolytica. It matches the Rfam family "tRNA". From Rfam's summary of the family: Transfer RNA (tRNA) molecules are approximately 80 nucleotides in length. Their secondary structure includes four short double-helical elements and three loops (D, anti-codon, and T loops). Lineage: Eukaryota; Fungi; Ascomycota; Dipodascomycetes; Dipodascales. The record is from Rfam by way of RNAcentral. RNAcentral also lists the same sequence under 1 other name.